AGCUUUAUAGUCAACGAUGAUACUAGAUUGCAAAUUUAGGGGUAAAGUUAAUACUUUUAAGGCUU
This 65-nucleotide transfer RNA is filed under the name Gastrophysa janthina. RNAcentral's name for it is "tRNA-Cys". Lineage: Eukaryota; Metazoa; Arthropoda; Insecta; Coleoptera; Chrysomelidae. The record is from RNAcentral.